This is a long non-coding RNA of Mesocricetus auratus (golden hamster), 529 nucleotides long. RefSeq lists it as uncharacterized. The record is from RefSeq and is a predicted model, not a curated record. Lineage: Eukaryota; Metazoa; Chordata; Mammalia; Rodentia; Cricetidae. The transcript is spliced from 3 exons.
AAGGGCACAUAAGCAAUUUACUAGCAUCAGAGCUGCAUAUACUUAACUUUCCUUUGGUGUCCAGAAAAAAAGGGGGGCAUGGCAUAGAGCACUUGUGCCACCAAGAAAGUUGUGAGGGUUAGCAGAACAAAAAGACAGACAGGCCAGAAACACGGUGGAGCUUUGCAUGCAAAAAAGGGGGAAAAUCUUUUCCUUGGCAUAGAGAAAUUGCAUCCCGAAGAGGUGAUCAAACUGAGGCCAACAUGACGACUUCUGCGACUGAAAGCAUCUGCCACUGACCAAUUCAGCACUGGACUCCAUCUUCUAAAGUCAGGUGUGGUGGCACACGCUGGUAAUCUCAGAACCAAGGAGGCUGAAACAACAGGAUCACAAAUUCAAGGCCAGCCUAGGUCACAUACUGUGGUGGUCUAAAAGAAAGAGACCCCCAAAAGGAAUGGUAUUAUUAGGUGAAGAGGUCUUGUGGAGUAGGUGUGGCCUUGUUAGAGAAAGUGUGUCACUGUGGGGGUAGGCUUUGAGGUCUCUUAUGCUC